GCAUAUCAAUAAGCGGAGGAAAAGAAACCAACAGGGAUUGCCCUAGUAACGGCGAGUGAAGCGGCAACAGCUCAAAUUUGAAAUCUGGCGUCUUUGGCGUCCGAGUUGUAAUUUGCAGAGGGCGCUUUGGCAUUGGCAGCGGUCCAAGUUCCUUGGAACAGGACGUCACAGAGGGUGAGAAUCCCGUACGUGGUCGCUAGCCUUUACCGUGUAAAGCCCCUUCGACGAGUCGAGUUGUUUGGGAAUGCAGCUCUAAAUGGGAGGUAAAUUUCUUCUAAAGCUAAAUACUGGCCAGAGACCGAUAGCGCACAAGUAGAGUGAUCGAAAGAUGAAAAGCACUUUGGAAAGAGAGUUAAAAAGCACGUGAAAUUGUUGAAAGGGAAGCGCUUGCAGCCAGACUUGCCUGUAGUUGCUCAUCCGGGUUUCUACCCGGUGCACUCUUCUACGGGCAGGCCAGCAUCAGUUUGGGCGGUUGGAUAAAGGUCUCUGUCAUGUACCUCCCUUCGGGGAGAUCUUAUAGGGGAGACGACAUGCAACCAGCCUGGACUGAGGUCCGCGCAUCUGCUAGGAUGCUGGCGUAAUGGCUGUAAGCGGCCCGUCUUGAAACACGGACCAAGGAGUCUAACAUCUAUGCGAGUGUUUGGGUGUCAAGCCCGAGCGCGUAAUGAAAGUGAACGGAGGUGGGAACCUUUCGGGGUGCACCAUCGACCGAUCCUGAUGUCUUCGGAUGGAUUUGAGUAAGAGCAUAGCUGUUGGGACCCGAAAGAUGGUGAACUAUGCUUGAAUAGGGUGAAGCCAGAGGAAACUCUGGUGGAGGCUCGCAGCGGUUCUGACGUGCAAAUCGAUCGUCAAAUUUGGGCAUAGGGGCGAAAGACUAAUCGAACUAUCUAGUAGCUGGGUUCCUGCCGAAGUUU
Molecule: ribosomal RNA, 914 nt
Filed under: Epicoccum nigrum
Lineage: Eukaryota; Fungi; Ascomycota; Dothideomycetes; Pleosporales; Didymellaceae
Description: LSU rRNA
Rfam family: Eukaryotic large subunit ribosomal RNA
Source: RNAcentral